This 913-nucleotide ribosomal RNA is filed under the name uncultured archaeon. RNAcentral describes it as "bacterial SSU rRNA". It matches the Rfam family "Archaeal small subunit ribosomal RNA", at positions 1 to 922 of the family's 1478-position model. The record is from RNAcentral.
UUCUGGUUGAUCCGCCGGACCUGACUGCUAUCGGAUUGAUACUAAGCCAUGCGAGUCAUUGUAGUAAUACAAGGCAUACGGCUCAGUAACGCGUAGUCAACCUAACCUAUGGACGGGAAUAACCUCGGGAAACUGAGUAUAAUGCCCGAUAGAACAUUAUGCCUGGAAUGGUUUAUGUUCCAAAUGAUUUAUCGCCGUAGGAUGGGACUGCGGCCUAUCAGUUUGUUGGUGAGGUAAUGGCCCACCAAGACUAUUACAGGUACGGGCUCUGAGAGGAGUAGCCCGGAGAUGGGUACUGAGACACGGACCCAGGCCCUAUGGGGCGCAGCAGGCGAGAAAACUUUGCAAUGUGCGAAAGCACGACAAGGUUAAUCCGAGUGGUUUCUGCUAAAGGAACCUUUUGUUAGUCCUAGAAACACUAACGAAUAAGGGGUGGGCAAGUUCUGGUGUCAGCCGCCGCGGUAAAACCAGCACCUCAAGUGGUCAGGAUGAUUAUUGGGCCUAAAGCAUCCGUAGCCGGAUCUGUAAGUUUUCGGUUAAAUCUGUACGCUCAACGUACAGGCUGCCGGGAAUACUGCAGAUCUAGGGAGUGGGAGAGGUAGACGGUACUCGGGAGGAAGGGGUAAAAUCCUUUGAUCUCUCGAUGACCACCUGUGGCGAAGGUGGUCUACCAGAACACGUCCGACGGUGAGGGAUGAAAGCUGGGGGAGCAAACCGGAUUAGAUACCCGGGUAGUCCCAGCUGUAAACUAUGCAAACUCAGUGAUGCAUUGACUUGUGGUCAAUGCAGUGCUGCAGGGAAGCCGUUAAGUUUGCCGCCUGGGAAGUACGUACGCAAGUAUGAAACUUAAAGGAAUUGGCGGGGGAGCACCACAAGGGGUGAAGCCUGCGGUUCAAUUGGAUUCAACGCCGGG